CCCCCUUUAAAGAUUCGUCACUGGCGCAAUCGUUAGUUUCUUUGUAAUGGCCCGUAAUGUAAAGUUAUUGGUGUUUUACUGCAUGAACAUUUUAUAUUUUUAAUAGGCUUUCUCGUGUUUUAUUGGAUUUAUGGUAAUAAGUUACCAGAUUAAUUUGUAUCCUUCUUUGAUUUCACGGUUAACAAGAGACACACAGCUAAAGACCCUGUAUUGUUAUUUUUUAUCUUAUCUUUUC
Molecule: long non-coding RNA, 235 nt
Filed under: Mytilus galloprovincialis (Mediterranean mussel)
Lineage: Eukaryota; Metazoa; Mollusca; Bivalvia; Mytilida; Mytilidae
Source: RNAcentral